Long non-coding RNA from Zingiber officinale, 344 nucleotides. RefSeq lists it as uncharacterized. The transcript is spliced from 3 exons. NCBI's taxonomy places the organism in Eukaryota, Viridiplantae, Streptophyta, Magnoliopsida, Zingiberales, Zingiberaceae. The record is from RefSeq and is a predicted model, not a curated record.
ACCACCCGUGACCUAGCUUCCUCCGCCACUUCUCCCGCCGCCCACACCUAGCCUCCUCCGCCACUCCUCCGCCCACUCAUCAUCAUCAUCAUCAUCAUCAUCCAAUUCUUCAACUGUUAGUGUAUAUCAAAUCUACGGGAUGGCAAACAUCAUCCACAAGUGAUGUGGAAUGUGAAUGAGAAGAAUUUUAUGCCUCACUUGGCUUCAUCUUGUUAGGUAUGCUGAGUGAUAUGAUAUGUAGAAGAAUUGAUUAGCAACUUUUAUGAUUGCAAUUAGGUAUGCUGAGUGAUAUGACCAAAGUUCAUUUCUAUUGUCGGGAAAUCAAAGCCUUCGCUCAUACAAGU